This is a long non-coding RNA of Poecilia latipinna (sailfin molly), 96 nucleotides long. RefSeq lists it as uncharacterized. The record is from RefSeq and is a predicted model, not a curated record. The transcript is spliced from 3 exons. NCBI's taxonomy places the organism in Eukaryota, Metazoa, Chordata, Actinopteri, Cyprinodontiformes, Poeciliidae.
GUAGCUCUGCAGCAGACGUUUCUUACAGACUGAUACGAGACAAAAACGAAGUAACAGACCCUGAAAAGAUAUGAAUAGUUUUUUUUUUUGUAAAUG